GGCCUCUCCACUGAUUCGACACAACGUCCUGCAGAGAUGUUGUGCGACCUGCCGUGUCAAUCGGUGGAGACGCC
Non-coding RNA from Trichoderma atroviride, 74 nucleotides. Lineage: Eukaryota; Fungi; Ascomycota; Sordariomycetes; Hypocreales; Hypocreaceae. The record is from Rfam.